This 844-nucleotide ribosomal RNA is filed under the name Botryosphaeria fusispora. RNAcentral's name for it is "eukaryotic LSU rRNA". It matches the Rfam family "Eukaryotic large subunit ribosomal RNA", at positions 77 to 939 of the family's 3401-position model. The record is from RNAcentral. Lineage: Eukaryota; Fungi; Ascomycota; Dothideomycetes; Botryosphaeriales; Botryosphaeriaceae.
GCCUUAGUAACGGCGAGUGAAGCGGCAACAGCUCAAAUUUGAAAGCUGGCUCCUUUGGAGUCCGCGUUGUAAUUUGUAGAGGAUGAUUCGGCAAGGGCUCCCGCCUAAGUCUCCUGGAACGGAGCGUCAUAGAGGGUGAGAAUCCCGUAUGCGGUGGGCUGCCUAAGCCAUGUGAAUCUCCUUCGACGAGUCGAGUUGUUUGGGAAUGCAGCUCUAAAUGGGAGGUAAAUUUCUUCUAAAGCUAAAUACCGGCCAGAGACCGAUAGCGCACAAGUAGAGUGAUCGAAAGAUGAAAAGCACUUUGGAAAGAGAGUUAAAAAGUACGUGAAAUUGUUGAAAGGGAAGCGCUUGCAGCCAGACUUGUCCGCAGUUGCUCAGCCGGUCUCCUGACCGGUGUACUCUUCUGCGGCCAGGCCAGCAUCAGUUCGGGCGGUCGGAUAAAGACCUCGGGAAUGUAGCUCCUCUCGGGGAGUGUUAUAGCCCGGGGUGGAAUGCGGCCAGCCUGGACUGAGGAUCUCGCUUCGGCUAGGAUGCUGGCGUAAUGGCUGUAAGCGGCCCGUCUUGAAACACGGACCAAGGAGUCUAACAUCUAUGCGAGUGUUUGGGUGUCAAACCCAUGCGCGUAAUGAAAGUGAACGGAGGUGGGAACCCUCACGGGUGCACCAUCGACCGAUCCUGAUGUCUUCGGAUGGAUUUGAGUAAGAGCAUAGCUGUUGGGACCCGAAAGAUGGUGAACUAUGCCUGAAUAGGGUGAAGCCAGAGGAAACUCUGGUGGAGGCUCGCAGCGGUUCUGACGUGCAAAUCGAUCGUCAAAUUUGGGUAUAGGGGCGAAAGACUAAUCGAA